UUCAGGUCUGGAGAUUGGGCUGGCCAUGACAGGGUCCUGAUCUGGUGGUGGAGAGAACGAGCCAUGCGGUCCGCCUGAGGGACAAAGGAGAGACGUGGUACCAUUGGAGCCAGUGUACACCAACGCAGGAGCCAGGAAGGUCGCUAACGGACCUCAUCCAAACCGGGAAGGAGGAGCUUUCCCCAGCGGGGACGGAAGAAGGACCAACACCAGCCGGACCGGUGCCAGGAGCGGACCCCAGGACACGGCGGGACUACGAGCGAGUGAAGGAGACAGAGGACGGCGUCAGGGGAAUAGACUCUUAGGGGAAAGAAUUGAAGAAUACUGUAACAAAAGGGGGUAUAGGACACCGAGUGGCUACCACUCGUACCAAGAUGACAGGGUUACAGAGAAAUGUCUGAGGAGAUGAUAGUAGAAUGAAGUGGUACAUGGACAUUGGUGGAAUAAUGAUGUGUGUUGUAUGUAGUUACAGGUUUCCCAGGUUGGCAUUGGGUCUUCAUUCCCCCAGCGAAGAGGUUCGCGACCCCACCUGAGGACACCCGUUUGAGGAAAUUUGGGGGAUUGAAUUGGACUAUGUCAAGGGGUCGCAUACGAGCAUUCUGGGAUAAGAUAAUCCGCUGAAGGAAUGGAUGAUCUCGAUGUUCGGCCAGUGGAGAGGUUUGAUAAUGUCUGUUCUUUUAUCGCUUUCUACAUUUGGUGCUAUAAUGGUUACUUGUGUGUGUUGUUGUAUCCCAUGCAUAAGAGGGCUUGCCAUGAGAGGGAUCUCUACAGCCAUUGAGGAGGCUCCAGGACCGCCACCAGGGAUGCUGAUGCCUCUACUGGAGCAGCAUGACCCGGGAGAACUGGAACUUGGCGAAUAGGGGUGAUCUCUCUGGGGAGAGAUUAAAAGGGGGAAUUGUAGAUGUAUUGAUUGUAUAAGUUAGUGAACUGUUAUAAGCUGUUGUAACCAAUGAAGCAGAAUAUUAAUUGUUUGUAAUAUGAGCUGAAACUGAAGGAGCAAGUAGGAGAAUAGGAAACCCUGUUCAAGCGGUUGCCGGGGAGAGAAAGAUUUAGUAUGUCUGUCUUUUGAGAAACAGGACACAGG
This is a long non-coding RNA of Esox lucius (northern pike), 1084 nucleotides long. NCBI's taxonomy places the organism in Eukaryota, Metazoa, Chordata, Actinopteri, Esociformes, Esocidae. The record is from Ensembl.